RNAcentral lists this long non-coding RNA (7224 nucleotides) under Lactuca sativa (garden lettuce). RNAcentral describes it as "long non-coding RNA (LSAT_LNC010205)". The record is from RNAcentral. Lineage: Eukaryota; Viridiplantae; Streptophyta; Magnoliopsida; Asterales; Asteraceae.
AAAACCUUAUUAAGUGCUUAAUGGCUUAAGAACUUAAGCCCAAACUUCAGAUCCAGAGAUCUAACAUGCCUAGGAUUCAUAACGUCAUCGAAUUUAUCACUUUGGAUGUCCAUAAAGUUCUUAAUGAUUCGUCUUAAUGUUGGGUUUUGAGCAAUCUAACACUUCCUAAGUGUGCAUGCAACCCUAAUAAACCUUGGAUCUAUGUUUGUCUAAAUACAUGCAAAAUAAUAAUUUUCCAAGGUUCAUAACCUAUCUAACAUGGCAUGGGGUACUUUUAAACAUAAAAGAAUUAGAUGUGAUUACAUACCUUUUGAUGAUGAGUUUGAUUCCUAAGGAGUUUGAGGGCCAAGCACCAAUAGUGUGAAUGCCUCAAAUGGAAUCACAAAUCACCACAAACUCUUGGAAAACUUUGAGAGAGCGUAUACACACUUAAAAAAUCGGCCAGACGCAAACACACAUACUCUAGUGACACUAGUGGCUAUUUCAUGCAACAUAAGCAUGCUUAUAUAGUGUACAUGAUUAGGGUGAAACCCUAAUAACCCAUGACCUUUCCUUUUCCAAGGAUCUAUGGGUUAAAAGCUCCAUGGAUCAUCCAUGGACUUCCACAUAAGCCUAGCCCAUUAACAAAUGAGUGUUAGCCCAGACUAUAUAAAACCAAUAGCCCACAAUCUAAUUAGUCUUCCUUUUAAUCUCUAAAUUAAUUCAUAAUUAAUUUAAGACUAAGACUAAUUAAAUAACAUGACUUCAUAUUAAUAUAUUAUAACUUAUAAUAUAUUAAUAAACAUAUGUGUAUAACUCUCAUAAAAUUAUCCAUAAAUAGUUUGGAUGAAAUGCAACCCAAAUGGACCAUGCCGGGUCGGGUCAAGUAUAUACCAAAUAAGUUAUGGACUUAGACACCUUAUCCAACAGACUCCCACUUGGAUAAGUCUAAUAACUAUAUUUGCGUAUGUUACUUCAGGAACCAACCAGCAAUCGUAGCUCUCGAAAACUCUGUUGAACUAUGAAGCGCCAUUUUAGAUAAGUGAUCAUAUAAUCCUCUGUUCUCAUGAUAUCAGCCGGACAAAUACAUGGAACAACGUCGUACUUAUUGUCCAGCAGUUUGUUUCCCGAUUUUCGAUUUGUUUGACAAAGAACUUAAUCGAACACAUCAAUUUAGUUCUGACCGGCCGGUACAUAGGUCACAACAAAAUCAUCGAGGGGCCCAGAUAUCGCUUCUAUUUCUAGAAGGAACAGAUAAACUUCGACUCAUAUGCUUGUUCUACUACUUGUUGAAUUGUACACAAAGGCACGUUUUAUAACAUCAAGUUACUGAUGCGUUUACGUGCAAUCAAUGCACAACCAACUCAUAGGUAACAACUCAUAUCUCUAGGUUUGAAGAUUUAUAUGAUAUUACCGUCUCACGAUCACUCGAGAUAAAUUCCAUGAAGUGAUACAAGUGAGCGUGGGUUUAUUCCAAUACUCAUAACUUAUGAGCACUCAUGAAUGUUGUAGCAACCAUUGCUAUGACUAAACCCAUUUAGCCAUCUACAAACUCGAUUCAUGACAGUCUUGAUUCAUACCUACUUCCAACAUAUGAACGACUGUGGAGUGUUUAAAUAACUUAGUCAUUCGGAAAGAAUAACCUAGCUAUUUUGGAAGUCAAAACAUGCAAAGUGAAACACAAUAAUAAUCGAAUCCAAUAUGGUCUCAGAACCCUUUUGAAUAUAAAUAGAACCACCUUUUAUUUAUCACCAUAUUGAUUACACAUUAUUCAUUGUAUAAUGUUUCAAACAAUCAACUUAAGACUUGAAUAAAAACAACAGUCGUCCCAUGCUCCUAGCAUGUACACUUUGUUUUUCUAAACAAUAGUUAUGCCAUACUCCAAGUAUGCACACUAUGUUUGUCUAUGAUCCUUACAUUGUGAUGUAGAUCAAUUGAACAUGAUUCCAAUGAUACUCAUUUCACAAUCCCAAAUCCUUAUUGUAAAUGUGAGAAUCCCCGAUUCCUAUCAUUUACCAAAAAAACUGUUAGAUUUUAAACUUUUAUGCAAUGUUCCUCUUGUAAUGAUUAUGCACAAAGUCACCAAAACCUUGUCACCAGUCAUUACAGAGUAUUCCAAAGAAGGUCAACUUCUAUGGAACGGAAGUCUCAUAUUCAAAGUACAUUGCUUUGAACAUCCUUCUUGCAUUAAGGUUUUCUAAUCUUACAUAGAUUGAAUAACUUCCACCUAUGGAGACAUUUCCAUAGUCCCAUUUUGACUAUCACUUCCGAACAAGAGUUACUUCUUUUCAGAAUAUGUCAAUAUGGUCCUUUCCGACAACUUACAUCAUACGUCCAACUGUCCCUGAGCAAACAAUCUUUGGCGAACCUCAGAUUGUCCUCGACAAUUGCUUAAUCACUUUAGUCAUAUCCAGUUCUAGACUUUUCCCUUCUCAAUGCCUUAAGCAUUUGGAAAAUUUAGAAAAGAUGAAUAUUAUAGCACAUGCAAUCGAUCCUAUAUCCGAAGCAUAUGGGACACGAUUCAUGAUGUUUGACAUAAAGACAUGAUACUAGACAAGUCUUUUGCUACAAUAUUUUUUAUUUGCCAUGUUUUCAAAAUUUAACUAUGAAGAGGGAUGCCGUAAUCAUAAUCGAAUUUUGAAAACGCAAUAUAUAUAGAAUUUCUUCAAGUUGAACCAUUCCAACAUAAAAUUCAUAUAUAUAUUCUUGACUAAAGAUGAUUAAAAUCUCAAUCUAAGCUUUAGAAUUGAAAUGAAGUAUAAUUUCCUCUCCCUUAAUUAUAGCAAAACAACUUUUCAACCCCUGCAACUUCACGAAUUGAAACUUUGUUUUCUAUAAUUAACAUUGCUAACUUGCAACACUAAACGUAAUAAUCAUGCUCCCACUAACAUGAUGAUUAUCAGCAUAACACUUAUGCUCCCACUAGCUCUGACAUAUUUCCAGAAAUCUGCUGGACUUCUGAAAUUUAGAUUCAUACACCCUUUCUUAGAUAGCUCACAUGUGUGUCUAAACAAUUUUCAGAACUAUGAAAAGGGAUACCGUAAUCAUAGUCUCAAUUGCUUAGGCAUUUGCCAUUUCUCACAAGUCCAUGUUAGUGUGCCGGUUAACCACACGCGCUCCACUAACGACUUUUGAAAAUGCAAAUAACACAAUUGAUAUCUACGUAAAAUCUACUUAGUGAAAGCGUUUCCUCACCAUCAUUUUCAUGAAUCGGAGAGAAACCUUAUGACACUUAGAUUUUAUAGUGUAUGAGUUCCUAUCCAUGUGAAUUUGUCAAAACCAUAAUCACAAGAUAAGGUUAGUGACAAAUUCAGCCUUACAUGGAUUAAACUUGUUCAAUCUUAGUUUCUUGUCACCUUGGUAGCACAAGGCCCACCAAUGCUUCCAAGUUGAACUCUGAUAACUCACAUGCAAAUUCAACUUAUUUGAAGUAGGUACAGAAAUAAGAAUUAUGUCAACACGAUAGGUUGCAAACCUUAAGUCGUGUGCUAGUGAUAAAUUACAGGUUUUACUCUUGAUUAAAUCUUGAAACUCUUUCAGGAUCUUUAAGGCUCCCACUGUCCCCUUGACAUAUAAGUUUCCCCAGUCAAGAACCAUUCCUUGACAAAACAAAUAUUCAAGGGAUAGUGCGGAUUCUUAUCAAGACUAACACUUCACACAAUUGGUCUUAGUUGGUCUUUGUCUCAUCCAAGACAUCACAACUUACCAAUCUCAAAUGUACAAGAGUAGAAAACAUUUUACUCUUACAUUUGACUAGUGUUAAUAAAUCUUCCUUUAUGUCACUCAAAGUUACAAUCUUGGAGUAUGACUCUAAGAAUUGUUUUGGAACGAAGUAUGACUCAUCUUCUUGAUUUUAACCAAUCCAACAAUUCAUGACCUCUCUUCUUAGCCAUAACAAUGCACUAAGACGUCCUUAGAGUAUGAAUUUGUGAUAUGGUUUCAUAAUCAUUAAGAUGAUCAUGAAAUACGAUACUAAAGUACUCUCCCAUCCUUUCAGAUUUGAGAAACUUUUAUCUUUCUGCCUAAUUUGAUUCUUCUCAUUUGUUUUGUCAUACAUUGUAACCUUUCCAAUGUUACAGAAUUAUACUUAACCUCAUAAGUAUAAUCAUAUUUACUAAUCUUUAGUAAAUCAUGACAAAUCAAUCUUUGUGGUGGACCUUGACCAGCGCACACCCAGUGUACCUAAUUCCUUAGUCCUUCAAUUGACUCACAUAUACAUGUGAUCAAAGAAUUAGUCUUAAUUUUCAAAGAUGAAAAUUCUCAUUCAUCAUACAAUACAACUUGUAUGAUUCCAAGUUUCUGUCCAAUUGAAACUUGGGUGAUGAAAAACUUUCUUCAUUUGGUAAAUUCAGACACUACCACAAAUGAAAGAAUCAAAUCCACUUUCCAAUAUUGCUAUUACUGGAAACAUAUAAGCAACAAUUUUCCACAGAUGCCAUUGUAAGGAUAUUUUUAAAAUAAAUAAAAUUAAAACCCUUUUUUUUUUUUUUUUUAAAACUUUGCGGAAAAACUUAUCCUUACAAUCCACAUGAAAACCUUGUUGUUAUCUAUUCAUAAGCAAUAUAUUAUAACUCUUAAGCAACAGCUCAAAAUUCUGAUUACCGAACCAUGCGAUCGAAACCCACCUUCGCAAUCAGAAUCAACAUAUACUUACUUUAAGCUUCCUAUCUUUUCUUUGAUUCUUAAAAACAUCAGCAUGUGACCCAUUCACAUUAUGUAAUAAGAAUCUCCAAAUAGGAACUUAAUAGAGUUAGACAGUGGACUUUACCCGAAGUAGAGUCAAACCUCUUGACUUGAUCAACCUUAUGACCUUUCAGGUGAAUAGGGCAGCUUCGCAACCAAUGCCCCUUCCUUUGGCAACAAAACACAUGGACCCUUUGGUAAUGGCACAUGAGACUAUCUCAGACUUAGCCUUUCUCUUUACCAUUUGGUCAACCGAGUUGACUAUGGCCGAUCCCUUUCCAUUGGGAAGAGAAAUCCUUUUCUAGAUAUCCAAUGCUACCAUUGUCAAUGUCCAUUUAAGACUUGGGAAGUUGUUCUUUUAAUCAAAUUUGCUUUACUGGUGUUCCAAAUCAUUGCUGAUUCCACAACACCAAGCAAAUAGAUAACAUCAUUAAGGGUCAUGUCAUAGUCUGUCUCAUAGUAGUCCCAAAGAGACUCACUAUGUUACUAAGAAAGUGAUUGAACAUCCAACUUUCACGAGACUUUGACACCCAACUCUCCCGGCUUGUCAAUAUGUGACUUUAUCUCCAAGAUGUGAGCACACAUAGACUAUGCUUGCCAAUAGGGAUUGAGUGACUUUAAACUUUUCAAGAACUUGUGGGUGAGGGAGAAUAAUUGGAGGAGGUGGAGGAAGUGAAGCAUGAUGUUGAGGGACACCAUCUUCAAGAGAUUUGGGAAGAUCAUAGUUGUCUGAACCAGACAUCUAUAAUGGGAGAAAAUCAAGUUAGUUGAUUCAAAGUCCUUAAUAUAACACCCAAUAUGAAAUAUUAAGGCUAGGACCCAACACAAUAUUUUAUAAUUUGGAAGAGGGAUGCCGUAAUCCAAGCUAUAAAAUAUUUGAAGGUAGGCGAAUGACGAUUCACCAAUUUCCACCAUGAAAAACGAAAUAAUUUAUUAGGUUUUAAUUGGAUUUGAAAUUCCUAGAUCUUUUGAGAUUCAUUGAACUUUUCAAUGGCAUGUUUCAAUCUCGAGUGUGCCCUCUCAAAUUUUGUGACUGGGAUGCCGAGGAUCACAAAACAAGGUGUGAAUAACCAUACCAAUUCACUUGGUACCCUUAAUAUUAUCACCUAAUCAAUGUGCCGGUUAACCACACACGCUCCAUUGAUCUAUGACAAACAUUAAGUCACCCUUCGUGAUCCUUACUAGUCCAAGUUAGUGUGCCGGUUAACCACACACGCUCCACCAACGACUUGGUAAGGUACAAAGUGUGAAUUCCAUGGGCUAGCACCAAAUUCACAUUUUUCCUAAAGUAACUAAGAUUGGGAAUUAAAUAAAAAAUUUUUAGUUACUUUAUAAUAAUCAUUAUACUUUUAAUGAGAAUUUAAAGUCAUUGUCCUACCCGUUCGGCUAACGACCCUCCACCGAUCAAGCAAGCGGUGGGUGAGAGUGGACACCCAUUAAGUCGCCAUUUUAUAGGCAACAACCUUAUACCCACCUUAUAGACCGGCUUCGUGAAUGAGGCCUACUAACGGUAAAACGACUUGUUCUUAUACAUAUAUAUAAUAAUUAACCAUUAAUGUUAUAAAUAGUAUAAGUGUUGAAUUUUAACUUUUAAAACUCUAAGUGUUGGAAUUAAAGUUUAUUAAAGUGUGUGAAACUUUUCAAAUUCCAAAACUUGAGGGCAAGUUUUGUAACUAUCCAAAACUUUUCAUUUCAUAACUUAUGAAUUAAAGGUUCAUAAAAAUGAAGACUCUUCAUUUUCAUGUAACUUAUGUGUUUAAAUGUGUGUGUUAAAGAAAAGUGACCUUUGGAUAUCCAUAACUUGAGGACAAAUUAUGGACUCCAUUAAAACACAUAAAUGAUCAAGAAUUAAUUCUAAACAAUUCAGCAAAUAAUUCCUAUCAUCUUCUAAAUUCAUAAGAACAUGAACAUGAUCAUCAAAAUUUCAAGAAUUAUAUGAACACAUAAAAAUCAUGGAAUUUUGAUAUAUGCUAUUGUAAAUGGAUUAGAACAACCAUUACACCAACUAAAACAAGUUUUAAAACACCAAAACAGUUUAGGGUAAUGUUUCUAGUCCAUUUCCAGCAGCAAAAGUCGAAAUUCUGCAUUCUGAUCAUUCUACUCGCCGAGUGCACGAACCUACUCGCCGAGUAGGAUGAAUUUUGCCUUGAACUCGGCGAGUCCCCCCAUGGACUCGGCGAGUCCAUCAGCCAGACAGCAACAAUUUCAACUUUUUUCACUAUUUUGCAUCAAGUAUCAAACAAGCAAGCCUAGGCUCUGAUACCACUGUUGGGUUUUGAGCAAUCUAACACUUCCUAAGUGUGCAUGCAACCCUAAUAAACCUUGGAUCUAUGUUUGUCUAAAUACAUGCAAAAUAAUAAUUUUCCAAGGUUCAUAACCUAUCUAACAUGGCAUAGGGUACUUUUAAACAUAAAAGAAUUAGAUGUGAUUACAUACCUUUUGAUGAUGAGUUUGAUUCCUAAGGAGUUUGAGGGCCAAGCACCAAUAGUGUGAAUGCCUCAAAUGGAAUCACAAAUCACCACAAACUCUUGGAAAACUUUGAGAGAGUGUAUACACACUAUA